CGCCCUAAGAGUUUGAUCCUGGCUCAGAUUGAACGCUGGCGGUAUGCUUAACACAUGCAAGUCGAACGGUAACAGGCAGAAGCUUGCUUUUGCGCUGACGAGUGGCGGACUGGUGAGUAACGCGUAGGUAUCUGCCUAGUAGUGGGGGACAACUCAGAGAAAUUUGGAUUAAUACCGCAUACACUCUACGGAGAAAAGCAGGGGAUCUUAGGACCUUGCGCUAUUAGAUAAGCCUGCGUGGGAUUAGCUAGUUGGUGAGGUAAAGGCUCACCAAGGCGACGAUCUCUAGCUGGUCUGAGAGGAUGAUCAGCCACACUGGGACUGAGACACGGCCCAGACUCCUACGGGAGGCAGCAGUGGGGAAUAUUGCACAAUGGGGGCAACCCUGAUCCAGCCAUACCGCGUGUGUGAAGAAGGCUUUCGGGUUGUAAAGCACUUUCAGUAGGGAGGAAAAGAUAGUCUUUAAUACGGGCUAUGUGUGACGUUAGCAACAGAAGAAGGACCGGCUAACUCCGUGCCAGCAGCCGCGGUAAUACGGAGGGUCCGAGCGUUAAUCGGAAUUACUGGGCGUAAAGCGCACGCAGGCGGUUUGUUAAGCUAGAUGUGAAAGCCCGGGCUCAACCUGGGAAUAGCAUUUAGAACUGGCAGGCUAGAGUCUUGGAGAGGGGAGCGGAAUUUCCUGUGUAGCGGUGAAAUGCGUAGAUAUCUGGAGGAACAUCAGUGGCGAAGGCGACUCCCUGGCCAAAGACUGACGCUCAUGUGCGAAAGUGUGGGUAGCGAACAGGAUUAGAUACCCUGGUAGUCCACACCGUAAACGAUGUCUACUAGCUGUUUGUGGAUUUAAUCCGUGAGUAGCGAAGCUAACGCGAUAAGUAGACCGCCUGGGGAGUACGGCCGCAAGGUUAAAACUCAAAUGAAAUGACGGGGGCCCGCACAAGCGGUGGAGCAUGUGGUUUAAUUCGAUGCAACGCGAAGAACCUUACCUACUCUUGACAUACUUGGAAUUCAGCAGAGAUGCUUUAGUGCCUUCGGGAACCGAGAUACAGGUGCUGCAUGGCUGUCGUCAGCCCGUGUCGUGAGAUGUUCGGUUAAGUCCGGCAACGAGCGCAACCCACAUCUUUAGUUGCCAUCAGUUCGGCUGGGCACUCUAAAGAAACUGCCCGUGAUAAGCGGGAGGAAGGUGUGGAUGACGUCAAGUCCUCAUGGCCCUUACGGGUUGGGCUACACACGUGCUACAAUGGCAGUGACAAUGGGUUAAUCCCAAAAAGCUGUCUCAGUUCGGAUUGGGGUCUGCAACUCGACCCCAUGAAGUCGGAAUCGCUAGUAAUCGCGUAACAGCAUGACGCGGUGAAUACGUUCCCGGGCCUUGUACACACCGCCCGUCACACCAUGGGAGUUGGUUCUACCCGAAGGUGGUAGCUUAACCUUCGGGAGGGCGGUUACACGGUGGGGUUCAUGACUGGGGUGAAGUCGUAACAAGGUAAC
This 1485-nucleotide ribosomal RNA is filed under the name uncultured prokaryote. RNAcentral describes it as "partial 16S ribosomal RNA". It matches the Rfam family "Bacterial small subunit ribosomal RNA". The record is from RNAcentral.